AGAGUUUGAUCCUGGCUCAGAACGAACGCUGGCGGCGUGCCUAACACAUGCAAGUCGAACGGAUUUGAGGGGCUUGCUCCUCAAGUUAGUGGCGCACGGGUGAGUAACGCGUAGAUAAUCUGCCUGACGAUCUGGGAUAACACUUCGAAAGGGGUGCUAAUACCGGAUAAGCCCACGGGGACUUUGGUCUUUGCGGGAAAAGGGGGGGACCUUUUGGCCUUCUGUCGUCAGAUGAGUCUGCGUACCAUUAGCUAGUUGGUAGGGUAAUGGCCUACCAAGGCGACGAUCAGUAGCCGGCCUGAGAGGGUGAACGGCCACAUUGGGACUGAGAUACGGCCCAGACUCCUACGGGAGGCAGCAGUUAAGAAUCUUGCACAAUGGGCGAAAGCCUGAUGCAGCGACGCCGCGUGAAUGAUGAAGGCCUUCGGGUUGUAAAGUUCAGUAAGCAGGGAAGAAUAAGCAAGAGGUAAUAUUUCUUGUGAUGACGGUACCUGCCUAAAGCCCCGGCUAACUACGUGCCAGCAGCCGCGGUAAUACGUAUGGGGCGAGCGUUGUUCGGAAUUAUUGGGCGUAAAGGGCGUCUAGGCGGGAAAUUAAGUUAGGUGUGAAAGCUAUGGGCUCAACCCAUAAACUGCAUCUAAAACUGAUUUUCUUGAGUUCGGGAGAGGAGAGCGGAAUUCCAGGUGUAGCGGUGAAAUGCGUAGAUAUCUGGAAGAACACCAGUGGCGAAGGCGGCUCUCUGGCCUAGAACUGACGCUGAAGCGCGAAAGCGUGGGGAGCGAACAGGAUUAGAUACCCUGGUAGUCC
RNAcentral lists this ribosomal RNA (807 nucleotides) under uncultured bacterium. Its description in RNAcentral is "bacterial SSU rRNA". It matches the Rfam family "Bacterial small subunit ribosomal RNA", at positions 8 to 796 of the family's 1533-position model. The record is from RNAcentral.